Molecule: long non-coding RNA, 717 nt
Filed under: Oryza brachyantha (malo sina)
Lineage: Eukaryota; Viridiplantae; Streptophyta; Magnoliopsida; Poales; Poaceae
Description: long non-coding RNA (OBRA_LNC000041)
Source: RNAcentral
CCCAAUCUAAUUAACAAAUGGCUCCCAUCUUAUCUCAUCCUGGAGCUUUGGCUAAUUAAGUCAGACGGCCAAUGUUCAGAGCCGACCUGUUUACAUCUCUGUUCUUCGCUCCAUCUGAUUGAUACGGACAAGCAUAUAUUCUUGGCGAUUUGCAUGCGACUUGAUUAAUUAACUUUCGUAUUAUCAUUAUCAUCAUCAUGUUGUACGUAUUCGCGUACAAACUACAGUAGAAUCUCUGUUUUUUUUCUUCAGAGAUAAAUUAAGCUUCAGAACAUACAGCUACAGGAGCUUAACAAUUGGCUGAAACUGACCGAUUCCUUCAAACUUUAAUGUUGUUUUUCUCUUUCAUUACUAGCUGUGAGCUAGAUGAUUGAACACGGCAUAACAAGGUAUCUAUAGACGUUUAGCAUACGGCUAUACCCUACAUUGCAACUUUAACAAAAGCGCAGGUUCUCUGAAUAUUUUUGAACCUUUAGGUAGACAGUCCAUUUCAUGUACAAAAUUGAAGUUUCACAGUUUUUUUUAGAGUACAACACAGACGCUCACUCCACUCUUCCCUAAGAGUGCACACACGCAAACCCUACUCCUAUAAGCCUGACCCUGAAAGCACAUAGCCGUUAUAAAAUAUUGGAAUAUUCGCUCGAACAAGAAGUCGAACCCAGAACCUUAAAUACUACUCAGGCCCUUAUAACCACUAGACUACAGGCCCUUUCGCUU